CGCGUAGGCGGUUGAUUAAGUCGGAUGUGAAAGCCCCGGGCUUAACCUGGGAACUGCAUUCGAUACUGUUCGACUAGAGUACGAGAGAGGGAGGUAGAAUUCCACGUGUAGCGGUGAAAUGCGUAGAUAUGUGGAGGAAUACCGGUGGCGAAGGCGGCCUCCUGGCUUGAUACUGACGCUGAGGUGCGAAAGCGUGGGGAGCAAACA
This 207-nucleotide ribosomal RNA is filed under the name uncultured bacterium. RNAcentral describes it as "partial 16S ribosomal RNA". It matches the Rfam family "Bacterial small subunit ribosomal RNA", at positions 568 to 774 of the family's 1533-position model. The record is from RNAcentral.